This is a long non-coding RNA of Felis catus (domestic cat), 8222 nucleotides long. RefSeq lists it as uncharacterized. Lineage: Eukaryota; Metazoa; Chordata; Mammalia; Carnivora; Felidae. The record is from RefSeq and is a predicted model, not a curated record. The transcript is spliced from 4 exons.
CUUAAAUAACUGAGUGACCCAGGUGCACCUUAUUUUUAAUUCUUAAGUGAUUACUUUCAAAAUAAUACAGACUAAAAUUCUCAAAUAGAGUAAUGUAGCAUUUUGCUGAAAUGACGGUAAAAAAUGAUUUAAAAAAAUAGUUUAUGAAAUAUAGUUUUAUUAGUACAUUUACAGAUCACUGACACAACAUAAUACUAAAUUUAAUUCUGUUAUUUUGCUGAAUUUCAAUCAUAUAUAAAAAAUCAUAACUUUAUCCGUUUAUCUUUCUGUUACAAAGUUAUAUUUGUCAAAGUAGGAAGAUAGAAUAUAUUUUAUUUAAAAGUUGCCUUGAUUUGUAACUUGUGAAUAUACAGAAUUUAGUAUGUUUGCCUCCAUCUGCAUUCAUGCCCCUGGGCUUUCAAAUGUUAAGUUUCAUUGGGAUGGCUUAUUAAUUGGUAUAGACUUCACAAUGUUUCAACAUUUUGCUUUUUACAGAUUAUUGCAAAAUUGAAAUGAUUUAAACAAAUAUCUUUUAAGGGCUUACUUUAGUUUUUUUAGCUGGUUUUCUAAAUGCCAGUUCUGAUGGCCACCAUUCAGGAGACCAUCUCUGCAGGCUUCUUGUGUGGCACGAGCUCUUUAAGAGUUGCCAGGGAGAUAUAGUGGGUGCAAAAACUGCAUCCUUCUCUGCCCUUCCCCACCAUUGCAUCUAAUCUUUUCUCUUGACUGCCUCCAUUCUGUUGAUUUUGCUCCAAGAUCUUUUCCUCUGAUUUGCCCUUUGUAUUGAUAUCUUUGGGCAGUUGGCCAAGUUUCUAAUUUGGCAUCACCUCAAAAUGUUGCAUUUGCUGCCAUCUCCUUCAUACUCCACUCAUGGCACCUUCCCACCCCAACCUUCUUAGCUCCGCAGUGGCCAUCCCACACACUUCCCAUACUGGGAAUGACGAGAAGAGAUAGUUUUGUAAAUAAGCUAAACUUUCAUAUAACCAAAAUUCAAUUGAUAAUUCCUAAAAUCCUUAUAAAUGCAUUUCUUCGAAAUACAGGGUUUUAGUAAUAUAAAAGUGAUUGUACCUGGAGAGUGAGAUUCAAUACUAGAAGGAGUAAUUUAUAAUUUUAAACCAUUCUAUACAAUUUGAUUUUUUUUUUUUUUUACUACACACAUGAUCUGCAUUAAGUUCAAUUAUUUUUGAUUGGUCUUACACCCUUUAAUAAUAAGAGCUCACUCAAAUUCAGUUUGUGUGGCUGGAUAAGAAACAAAAAUUUUCCUUCUUACUUGUGGUAUCUGCUUCCAUCAGGUUGUUUCACUCUUUCCCAGCUAUAAAAUAAAUAUCCAGUAUAUAUCAAUGGAAGGAGAAAAUCUCCUUGAAGUUAAUGAUGUCAGUGUUGUCAAUCUAUUGCAAUACCUCAAUCCUCUCCUCAGACUAGCAGAGGAUGUUUGAGUUAAAGCAGCAUAGACCUUGUACUAUAUGACCGUAUAAGACUGUGUCCUCAGAACAUAAUGGUCAUCAAUUCCAUUAGUCAAUUUCCACUGUUUUUUUGGAUCCAUUACUAUAUACUGUAUACUGUGUCAGUGUAUGCACAUUCCUGUACACUGUGCUUCUGAUGUUUUAAUGGGCUUAUGCUUCCCAGAUAGGCAAGACUUUUUUAAUCAGGCUAGUAUUUAUAUUUUUAAAUCAAUUGGAUAGUUUACAUAGAGAAAAGUCUCCAAAUUGGCUUUUCCUUUUGUUUUAAAAUAAUUUAUUCUUUCAAUACCCCCCUUCCUCCCCCACCCUUGGCUUCUUCCAGGUAGAUACUAGGAGUACAAACAUGAAGAAAACAUGGCCUUGAUACUGAAAGAAUUCAUAGUCUAGAAAUAAUUAUACUUCAUCUCGCUCCUGGUGAACUGUACCCAUCUUUUUUUAGAUAUGAAAUCAAUGUUUCCCAGACCAGGCCACAUCCUGGCUACUCUCCCAAGUAAAUCACAGUGAAAAAAAGUGAACUCUGAAGUAUGCAAAACUAGUUGGAGGAAUCAAAUAAAUACAAAUUUGGUGUUUUAUAUUCAGUGUAGCCUUGAUUUUGGAAAAUAUAUGAAAAUUCUACAUAGGAGAGUUGCUAGCUAUUUAUUUAUUUAAUUAAUUUUUUUAUACCUUGGUUUUCUCACCAAAGAACCUAUUACAACUUUUCUAUCUUCACCAUAUAAAAUAAUAUAUUAAGUGCUUUCAAAGACGAUUAGUAUACUUAUCCUUCUCUAAAUCAGCAUCUAAAAAGUUAACAUGUCUCUAUCUGAGAAUUUUAAGACUAACAACACUAUUGUAUGGACAACUGCAAAGAUGAUGUGAAUUAGUCAGUUUCAUUAAUUUGUUUUAGCAAAGGGUUAAGAGUCUUCCCAAACCAAUAAUUAAGAGAUUUCCAACUACUCUUGAGGUUUACAUUAACUGCUUUGGGGGCUAUCAGUUUUUAAUAGGUAUACUUGUUGAAAUGCCUAGAUGAGUAGAUUUGAUCUGGAAUGAUAGUUCAUAUAUAAUUCAGUAGGACCAGCAAAACUUCCCGUGUCCACUUUCCCAAGUGCCAACCACAUGUGUUUUUCCCUUACUACUCCAAUGUAAGCCUGAAUUCUAGACAUUAUGAAACAUGUUAGCCAGACCCCUACAGGCUUUUAGUAAACAGAAUUGAGUGUAAAUAAUAUUUAUGACUUUGUAGACUACUUGGCUGAAUCCACCUUAAAAGACAGUUUCAUUCUGCUUAUACAGCAAUGUUUCACCAUCUACAGUAGCACACAUGCACAUAUACAAAUUACACUUGGGCCAAGCCAAAAGAAGAGACAAAAAUGUAAUUCACCCAGGAAAGAAAUGUAUAAAGGAAGGUGACUAAACUGAGACUUCAUACAACUGUUUAUUUGUCAUAAAACUAUCCGUGAGCUAAGAUAUAAGCAUAAGCAUUAAGUGAAUGACAGUUGUUUUAUUGUAUUUUCAACGUUUUUAGUUGUAUCUUAAAAAAUACCAGAUGCUGUUCACAUGAUGCCAAACAUAUGGCUUUUGCCUGUGCUCUUGUGAUCUGUAGUAGAUUGCUAUAAUGUACAGGGCAGGGAAAAAAAACCGAUUUACAGAUAGCCCUGGCCUGAGUGGCUUACAGCUGGAUCUAAUUUCACCGAACUGAUCGCCUCUCCCUCCAGCACCUUCUAUUUUAUCAAAUGCCACAUAUUGUUUUUUUGAAGUGGUUCUUGUUGUCCUAGUGAAUACCACAGAUGGAUAGCACACAGGACAUUUGGUUGUCUGCUUUCUGACUAAGGUCAGGACCUACUGUUGUUCAUGUUUGGGUGGAGGACGUAUUUCAUGGGACUGCCCAAGAAAUUUAAUGAGUUUCAGCUGUCUAAGAGAUAAUGUAUAAGACAUUGCUCACUUGGUUGACAUACUUAGAGGCCAUUAUAGUCAUCUGGGUUCUUAGGCACUAAUAUGGUUCCUCCCAAGUGUGUCUUUUCUUUGUAUCAGUUACUAAGCUGACAUAUCACCUGGAGAGAUGAUGAAAAGGAUAAGAAGAAGAAAGAAUAAAUGCUAAUAAUUACUCAAUUUAAUUGUGAUUGUCUAUAUACUUUUCUGUCUCUCCUACUAGAUUUUAAGCUUCUUGCGGGAAUAAAAUAUGUCUUGUUCAACAUUUAAUAGUCUGCACAUUAGCCCAAGGGCUGUACACAGUAGGGACUUAAGUAUUUUUUGAAUGAAUAGACGAAAGAGCAAGCAUUCAAAGAGUUUCUGUAGAUAAUUAUGGAGGAAGAGGAUGAGUAGAAUAUGAAUGGUAAGAUUGUAGAUCUGUGUUUCCUAAUUUUUCUCUAAGCCCUCUCUUUUUAAGAUCCAUCUUUGUUUCUGCUUGUUAUAGGAUCUGUUUCUUUGUAUGUACAUUUGCUACAUUUUACCUAUCACUCCCUAACUGAUGGAUGCUAAGACUAACUCCAUAUCCUUUUCAACACAAAGACUGACUCCAUCUUCCUUCCAACACGGGAUAAUUUCCAGGCAUCUCUACUGCGCCAUGAUAUUAUGAUGUGGGACCAUAUGGGAAACAAUUGCUAUCCACACUUGCAGAAACGGAAAGGAUAUGGGAAAAUUUGAUACCUGAUAAAAAGUGCCAUAUUAAUGUCCAGUGUGACCCUUCGUGGAAUCCUUCUUGGGUGUGCAGGAAUGAGCAGCUUGAUACAAAUGUGUUAAUAAAUAUCCUAUAGAAAGACUUUCAGGCAUUCAGAGCUUCAUAGAACAAGUAUGGGAUCCUUUCCCACAAUUCUCAAACAUGUUUGAAGGAUUGACUAGGACACGUGAGUAUAUGUACCUAUGAGAACAUAAAAUAAUUUGUGGGAAGGGAACUAAGACCACACAGGUAGGCUCGAUUCUUAGUUCCUCACGUUGUGGUAAUUCUUCAGCUUGAGCUGGAAGAUAGACCACUGCCAUCUGAAGACAUGACUGAUCCAAAUUUAGAAUACUGUUUGAGGCGUUGGUUUAUGUAUUGAAUUUUCAGGGGAGUUGUUUUCUUAUUCUUUUGUUGGGUGAUCAUUUAUUGGAUCAUUUGACUAGAUGGUGGCGGUACAACAAUAUUUAUGACUCUAAAGUUUAUUUGAGGUCUGUAAAAAGAGCAAAUACUUAAAGAAAGAUCAUGAUCAAGUGUGUAGACCUGUUUUAAGCCUGGACCCUAGAACCCUAAUUACAUCAAGAGAGUAGAUCUCAUUCCUAAUUCCUAGUGCCAGCAACACCUGAUAUAAAAGAAUGGCCAAAUUACUUAAUUUCAUAAAUUUCUUGUUUACUUCCUGGGUCUGCUUAGUAAUAUUAAAGAUUGCAGAGAGACUUUUGGGAUAUGACAAUAGAUGUCCACCCUUGAAUGGUCAGUAUUAUAACUAAAUUAGCUGUAUUUUGAACUACUGCUUGUUCAACUUCAUGAACAUCUUGGGCAAAGCGUUUUAUGACUUAUAAACAUUGUAUAGUUCUUCUGCAGUUCUCGUAGCAUGUAGAAUUCUCCUCGCUCUUGGAGUUUUCCACACAGAAUGAAAAUAAGAGAUGUGGGAUGGAAGAGAGCAGUCCUAACAUUUUGGAUUACAAUUGAGGCACACCUUUUCCAUCCAUAGUUAAAUUUUUUAAUGUUCUCUCUCUCCCUUCUCUUUUUUCCCCUUUUACUCUCUCUUGAGAAGACCCAGGAGCCAAACUGGGCUUUAUCCUGAAGUCAAGCAUCAGUUUACUGAUACAACAAAUCCUUACCUGAUUUAAGAGCAGUAGCCAAUAGGCUUUUGACUGGAUAUUUUUUUAUCAUUAGUCAUUAAGGGCCAUGAUCUCCUUUUAGCCAAAAUACCUUUGUGAAAUUUUCAGAAUAUUGUAAUGUUUUAUUACCAUAUAAUAACAGUAGUACUGCACCAGACCAUCCCUUUUUCAUUAGUGAGAUUAUCAAGUAGAUGUAAAGCAAAAGAGCUUGAUGUUGAGUCUAAAUAAUGACCUUAUUUGUAAAGUCUGUAAAAGUGAGAUAGCCACCACAUAUGUACCCAAUCUUCCUUAGUUAUUUCCCAGUCUUGUUUCUGUGAGAGUUUGGUUACCAAAGCAGUUCUCAAAAAAAUUAUCAAAUUUUGUUGGUGACAAAGCCCCCCUAUAUAAAGGUCUAAUAUGAAAGAAGGCUUUAGAUUUAUAUUUUUUCUUUUCUUCUUCCCCUUCUCCUACCCCUACUCCUUCCCCUUCUUCCCCUUCUCCUCCUCAUUAUUAUUUUUAAUAAUUAUUUUUAAUAUUUAUUAUUAUUAUUAUUAUUAAUAUUAUUUUACUGAUGUGGGUUUUUUUCUCUACAGUGUAACUUAGUACAAAUUCCCAAGAAAUUAUCUUAUGUAUUACAAGGAAUUGGUAAUAAAGGAGUGCCAUCCAGCUUCAAUAUUAGUUUAUUAUAAUACAUGAAUAAAUUUGUAUCCUUAAUCACUCCUUAGUAUAAGUUCAUAACCUGUCUACAAUUUGCUACUGAUAUGGGUAAAACAUAUAAUGAAACCAAGGAGUGGCUAAGGAUGCAAAAAUCAACAUUAAAGAUAGGGACUUCAUAAAUAUCAUAGUUACAUGUUAAUCUAUUACAGAUAUCAUGAUUAGAUGUUAGUUCCGUUAACAUUUCAGAACUUUAAACUGGCAAAAAGGGAAGAAUAAACAACAAACAAGAAAAAUGGUGGUGGGAAAAAACAAACAAAUUAAAUAUGAUGAUCUGUGGUUGUGAUCACUUGAAUCUUAAUUGGUGGGUCUUGGACGGAAGCUGUUCUUUCCUGCAGAUGUCUACUUGGUCCUAGGCCUUUGGUGGGUACUACACCCUCCUGAAAGUUAUUUGUUUUUGUAAGAUUCCUAAAAAUUCUCAGUUUGAAAUCUCACAAUGGGAGAGUACAUCAUAUAAUUCUGUAUGUUGUCUUUUUUUAGCAGGCAGACAUGAAUCAAAAACCUAUACACCAGAUUUGCAUGAGGUAAAAAAUAUCUGACAAGGCCCUUUCAAAUAUAACUUUAAAGCAUUUUUCUUUUCCAAAAAAAUGAAGUCUCCAGUUUGGGGUCACUUAGGAAUUUCUUGGGAGAAUGUCAAAGAAAGACAGCUUAAACCUGUGGGAAGUAAGACUGAGUAUAUUUAUGAGUUCUUUGUAGUGCUUUGACAUGUUGAACUGAAGUGAGAUAGUGUCUAAAAUUAGGGGAGAAACAUUCAUAAGGUGAGCUGUAAUAACUUUAUAUGAACAUAAUCCAUACUUUUUGCCUUUUUGGCAACACUGGAGACUGUGAACAUAGGAUCAUGAGAAUCAGAGCUUGACUCAUUGGCCAAAGAGUUCCAAGAAUAUCAGUUAGUUUGGCUAUAGUUUGAUAUUUUUAAAAAUCAACUUUAAUGAAGUAAAUGUACUUGCAAUUAACAGCAUAUAUUUUAAUUGUAUAGUUUGAUGAGCUUUUUUAAAAGAUACAAUCAAAUAAUUAGAAGAUUUCCAUUAACCAAAAAAAGUUCUCCUUUGCCCCUUUCAGCUCAUAUUCAUCUUCUCCCCAAGCCCUAGGUAGGCACUGAUCUAGUUUAUCUCUAUAGAGGAGAUUGUGUUUCCUAGAAUUUCAUAUAAGUGAACUAAUAUAGAACAAAAUAUCGUGUCUGAUUCCUUUCACUCAGAAUCAUGCUUCUGGGAUUUGUCUGUGCUGUUCCAGAUAUCAUUUUCCAUUCCUUUUAAUUGCUGAGUGGUCUUCCAUUGUUUGGAUAAACCAUAAUUUGUUUAUCUACUCAGCUAUUGAUGGAUGUUUGGAUUGUUUCCAUGUUUGAUUAUUGUGGAUAAAGCUUCUUUGAGCAUUCAUAUACAAGUCACAUAAUUUGCAACCAGAUUUAUUUCAAUAUAUCUUUUUCUGAUGAUAAAGCCAUUCAUCAGCAUUCUGUACUAUCUAUCGUCUGUGCACAUUUCCAAUGGUUUGGUCUGUUGGGAUUUCAUAGGAGAGGAAGAUUUUAGUAAGGGCUUCUGUCUGAGUAAUCAUCAACUGGGGCAUUAUGCCCACCUCCCAAGUGUUUAUGCCUCAGUGAUCAGACUGUCUUCUUGCUUGUAUGUAAUUAAUAAGAACUGUGUCACAUGGCCACCUAUAGCUUCAAUUGCAUUUUAAUUUUUUACCCUCUAUAAUAUAGUUAAGCAAAAAUAGGAGGUUGGAAUUACAUGGUAGUUUAAUCAACCUAGUAUCUGUCACACAAUCUUAUUAACCAUACACAAAUGUUUUGAGAGUGUGAAUUUAUUGUAAAAUGAUUGAUGUAUUAGGGGACAAUUUGAACAUAAUGUAAAUUUGACAUUGGCUAAUGCACAAUUUUGUCUACAAAAAACACUAUUUGAAUGCAGAAAAUUGCACGGUACCAAAUAAAACUACAUAGGAAUACACAAAAUGUACACGUGUGGAUAUUUCAAACAUCUACCAACUACCUCAGUUUACUGUGUGUUAUAAGCCACAUUCAUCCACAUCUAUUUUUAUAAUUUUAAGUCCAAUUCAGGAUAAUUUUCAUACCAUUCCCCCACAGUAACUCACAAGGUGCAAUCUUUCAUAUGUCCACAUCCACAAGAAAUCUUCAUUUUUUUCAAAGUAAAGUUCCAUAUUAAUUGUAUUAUUGUGUAUUUUUAACCAUUUAACAAGUGCUAUUAUUUUUAUUAAGUUUCUAUUUUUUUAAUUACUUCAUUUUUAAGAAUAAUUUUAUUUACAAUAAAAUUGAAAGGACAGUACAAAGAUUUUCUAUGAGAAAGAGAAAGAGCACAAGUGAGUGAGGGGUAGACAGAGAGGGAGAGAGAAUAAAGA